GACGAACGCUGGCGGCGUGCCUAAUACAUGCAAGUCGAACGCUUCUUUCCUCCCGAGUGCUUGCACUCAAUUGGAAAGAGGAGUGGCGGACGGGUGAGUAACACGUGGGUAACCUACCCAUCAGAGGGGGAUAACACUUGGAAACAGGUGCUAAUACCGCAUAACAGUUUAUGCCGCAUGGCAUAAGAGUGAAAGGCGCUUUCGGGUGUCGCUGAUGGAUGGACCCGCGGUGCAUUAGCUAGUUGGUGAGGUAACGGCUCACCAAGGCCACGAUGCAUAGCCGACCUGAGAGGGUGAUCGGCCACACUGGGACUGAGACACGGCCCAGACUCCUACGGGAGGCAGCAGUAGGGAAUCUUCGGCAAUGGACGAAAGUCUGACCGAGCAACGCCGCGUGAGUGAAGAAGGUUUUCGGAUCGUAAAACUCUGUUGUUAGAGAAGAACAAGGACGUCAGUAACUGAACGUCCCCUGACGGUAUCUAACCAGAAAGCCACGGCUAACUACGUG
Molecule: ribosomal RNA, 508 nt
Filed under: uncultured bacterium
Lineage: Bacteria
Description: partial 16S ribosomal RNA
Rfam family: Bacterial small subunit ribosomal RNA
Source: RNAcentral